This 401-nucleotide ribosomal RNA is filed under the name uncultured bacterium. RNAcentral's name for it is "bacterial SSU rRNA". It matches the Rfam family "Bacterial small subunit ribosomal RNA", at positions 355 to 773 of the family's 1533-position model. The record is from RNAcentral.
UGGGGAAUAUUGGACAAUGGGCGAAAGCCUGAUCCAGCAAUGCCGCGUGAGUGAUGAAGGCCUUAGGGUUGUAAAGCUCUUUUACCCGGGAUGAUAAUGACAGUACCGGGAGAAUAAGCCCCGGCUAACUCCGUGCCAGCAGCCGCGGUAAUACGGAGGGGGCUAGCGUUGUUCGGAAUCACUGGGCGUAAAGCGCACGUAGGCGGCUCUUUAAGUCAGGGGUGAAAUCCUGGAGCUCAACUCCAGAACUGCCUUUGAUACUGAGGGGCUCGAGUCCGGGAGAGGUGAGUGGAACUGCGAGUGUAGAGGUGAAAUUCGUAGAUAUUCGCAAGAACACCAGUGGCGAAGGCGGCUCACUGGCCCGGUACUGACGCUGAGGUGCGAAAGCGUGGGGAGCAAAC